Erinaceus europaeus (western European hedgehog) is the source of this 1391-nucleotide long non-coding RNA. RefSeq lists it as uncharacterized. The record is from RefSeq and is a predicted model, not a curated record. The transcript has 3 exons. NCBI's taxonomy places the organism in Eukaryota, Metazoa, Chordata, Mammalia, Eulipotyphla, Erinaceidae.
GGGUAGGCUGAAUAGACUUAAAAGGACAGCAGCCGGAACUCUCGCUCUCUCUUUGGCUGCGGCUUCUUCUCCUGGUCAGAUGCCUCUCAGCGGAGAUGCCCCAGGCAUCCAUCGGCCAAGUCUACUUCUCCUGGGAACUGAACACGUGUGACUCUGCUAGCCGCAGAAAGCAACUGUUGAGAGCAGAGUGGCUGAUCUUUUGCUUACUGUCCUGUGUCCUGACAGAAAAACACAGCUUGUGUCCUCAGUCUCUUUGAUGCCCUCAGCUUCAGGACCAAGUAAUAGAAUAUUCUGAGCCUCUUCUGUAAAGAAAGUCCAAGGUGUGGAGCCGGGGCCUCGAACUGAGAUUCCUACGCUGGUCCUUGCGCUUUGUACCACGUGUGCUUAACCCGAUGCGCUACCACCCGACUCCUGGGUUCCAGUUUUGCGAUGACUUGAUUCCCUCCGGAGUUGCCACACUCAGCCACCCUUCUUCUUCCAGCCUCCGAAUCCCUUUUCUGUCAUCAAACACAGACAGAGAGUCAAGCAGGGAGUCAUGGGGAAUCUUCAAAGGUCAGCUUCUAUUGCUUGUCAAUAGCUGACAUUUAAGCAUUUCUUUCAGACGUGGCUGAUAAUGUUUUCUUGAGAUAGGCCAGAGGAAUUGCUGUGUCGGUAUGCAAUUAUGCUCCUAAUGAGAUGCGUACAUGCAAAUUGGGUGGUACGUGCCAGCGCCUUUUGUCGCGACUGCAGCCACCAGGAGACUUUGAUAGAUAAGGUGUCACUCUGCAGAGUUGGAAGGCUCUUAGGGAAGCAUCUAUACCGUGCUACAGCUAGAUGCUAAUUAGCAGGGACCCUUAGCAAUGCUAAAUAGAGAGGUCCAGUGAUUUUUUUUUUUUUUUGUCUUUCCUUCCUUGGUAAAUUUUGACAACUUCCUUGAACCAAUCAUAUCAACAAGAUUAGUCAGUGAAUGUGGCAAACAUCUUUAUCCUCUUUAAAAAAAUUUAAAACCAAAUGGAACAUGCCCUACAAAAUGCAUUGUAUAUUCAUAAGUAUAUCCAGUAGAAAGCUAGCUACCUCGAAUGAUUGACUUUAAAAAAAAAUCAUUUAAAAUGCAAAUAAGGUGAUAAUACAUCAACGGAUUCCAUCAGAUUCAGAAAAAAAAUACCCAUAUGAUAUCUUUUUCAAAAGAUUAUUUUUCCAUCCUCGCGUUUUGUGAGGUUGUAAAAAAAAAAAAGAAAGAAAAUCAAAGCAGUGGUGUCAAUGAUGACUUUGAAAGUUAUUGCACACUCUUGAGUUAUUCUACAUGUUAAUCCGAAAUGGUUUUUCAAGCACCACAAAGUAAUUACAGCUACGCAAAUGACAACAUCAAGGGGACAUAAAGCAACCGCCCCCCCCCCCCCCUUUGCAGGGUA